GAAAGUAAGUGAAGUGGUUCCUUAACAUUUGUCUCUCUUUUAAAGUGGUUACUUAACAUCUAAAUCACUCAAUUACACUCAUAAAUCCAUAAAAACCUUAGCUAAAACUCAUUUCUUCUAAUAAUAGUACAAAUUAAGUUUUAAUAGGUAAGUUUUUCUUCCUCUUUUUCUUGUGAAAUAUUAAGUUUAAAUUAACUUCCUUUAUUAUUUAAUUGUGAUUUCUACGGAAAAAAAAAUUAAGAGAGGCAAGUUUAGGAUAAAGAUUUGUGGUAAAGGUGAUAUUGAAGUAAGGGGUU
This 296-nucleotide unclassified non-coding RNA is filed under the name Hevea brasiliensis (rubber tree). Lineage: Eukaryota; Viridiplantae; Streptophyta; Magnoliopsida; Malpighiales; Euphorbiaceae. The record is from RNAcentral.